This 972-nucleotide ribosomal RNA is filed under the name uncultured Streptococcus sp. Its description in RNAcentral is "bacterial SSU rRNA". The stretch from base 1 to 843 matches the Rfam family "Bacterial small subunit ribosomal RNA", at positions 28 to 873 of the family's 1533-position model. Lineage: Bacteria; Bacillati; Bacillota; Bacilli; Lactobacillales; Streptococcaceae. The record is from RNAcentral.
GAUGAACGCUAGCUACAGGCUUAACACAUGCAAGUCGAGGGGAAACGGCAUUGAGUGCUUGCACUCUUUGGACGUCGACCGGCGCACGGGUGAGUAACGCGUAUCCAACCUUCCCAUUACUGUGGGAUAACCUGCCGAAAGGCAGACUAAUACCGCAUAGUCUUCGAUGACGGCAUCAGAUUUGAAGUAAAGAUUUAUCGGUAAUGGAUGGGGAUGCGUCUGAUUAGCUUGUUGGCGGGGUAACGGCCCACCAAGGCUACGAUCAGUAGGGGUUCUGAGAGGAAGGUCCCCCACAUUGGAACUGAGACACGGUCCAAACUCCUACGGGAGGCAGCAGUGAGGAAUAUUGGUCAAUGGACGGAAGUCUGAACCAGCCAAGUAGCGUGCAGGAUGACGGCCCUAUGGGUUGUAAACUGCUUUUGUAUGGGGAUAAAGUUAGGGACGUGUCCCUAUUUGCAGGUACCAUACGAAUAAGGACCGGCUAAUUCCGUGCCAGCAGCCGCGGUAAUACGGAAGGUCCAGGCGUUAUCCGGAUUUAUUGGGUUUAAAGGGAGCGUAGGCUGGAGAUUAAGUGUGUUGUGAAAUGUAGACGCUCAACGUCUGAAUUGCAGCGCAUACUGGUUUCCUUGAGUACGCACAACGUUGGCGGAAUUCGUCGUGUAGCGGUGAAAUGCUUAGAUAUGACGAAGAACUCCGAUUGCGAAGGCAGCUGACGGGAGCGCAACUGACGCUUAAGCUCGAAGGUGCGGGUAUCAAACAGGAUUAGAUACCCUAGUAGUCCAAGGGCGAAUUCCACAUUGGGCUGCAGCCCGGGGGAUCCACUAGUUCUAGAGCGGCCGCACCGCGGAGCUCCAAUUCAACCUAUAGUGAGUCGUAUUACGCGCGCUCACUGGCGAUCAUUUUACGAAAACCCCUUUUUGCGGGGGGAGAAAUACGAAAAAGACCCCCCCCCAGCAAUUUUGUGCCUGUGAG